This 463-nucleotide ribosomal RNA is filed under the name Salmonella enterica subsp. enterica serovar Enteritidis. RNAcentral describes it as "partial 23S ribosomal RNA". It matches the Rfam family "Bacterial large subunit ribosomal RNA", at positions 59 to 561 of the family's 2925-position model. Lineage: Bacteria; Pseudomonadati; Pseudomonadota; Gammaproteobacteria; Enterobacterales; Enterobacteriaceae. The record is from RNAcentral.
UACUAAUCUGCGAUAAGCGCCGGUAAGGUGAUAUGAACCGUUAUAACCGGCGAUACCCGAAUGGGGAAACCCAGUGUGAUUCGUCACACUAUCAUUAACUGAAUCCAUAGGUUAAUGAGGCGAACCGGGGGAACUGAAACAUCUAAGUACCCCGAGGAAAAGAAAUCAACCGAGAUUCCCCCAGUAGCGGCGAGCGAACGGGGAGGAGCCCAGAGCCUGAAUCAGCAUGUGUGUUAGUGGAAGCGUCUGGAAAGGCGCGCGAUACAGGGUGACAGCCCCGUACACAAAAGCGCAUGUGCUGUGAGCUCGAUGAGUAGGGCGGGACACGUGGUAUCCUGUCUGAAUAUGGGGGGACCAUCCUCCAAGGCUAAAUACUCCUGACUGACCGAUAGUGAACCAGUACCGUGAGGGAAAGGCGAAAAGAACCCCGGCGAGGGGAGUGAAAAAGAACCUGAAACCGUGU